AACGAACGCUGGCGGCAUGCCUAACACAUGCAAGUCGAACGAGACCUUCGGGUCUAGUGGCGCACGGGUGCGUAACGCGUGGGAACCUGCCCUUAGGUUCGGAAUAACUCCCCGAAAGGGGUGCUAAUACCGGAUAAUGUCUUCGGACCAAAGAUUUAUCGCCUUUGGAUGGGCCCGCGUUGGAUUAGCUAGUUGGUAGGGUAAAAGCCUACCAAGGCGACGAUCCAUAGCUGGUCUGAGAGGAUGAUCAGCCACACUGGGACUGAGACACGGCCCAGACUCCUACGGGAGGCAGCAGUGGGGAAUAUUGGACAAUGGGCGAAAGCCUGAUCCAGCAAUGCCGCGUGAGUGAUGAAGGCCUUAGGGUGGUAAAGCUCUUUUACCCGGGAUGAUAAUGACAGUACCGGGAGAAUAAGCUCCGGCGAACUCCGU
RNAcentral lists this ribosomal RNA (432 nucleotides) under uncultured bacterium. RNAcentral's name for it is "partial 16S ribosomal RNA". It matches the Rfam family "Bacterial small subunit ribosomal RNA", at positions 29 to 506 of the family's 1533-position model. The record is from RNAcentral.